Molecule: non-coding RNA, 106 nt
Organism: Colletotrichum phormii
Lineage: Eukaryota; Fungi; Ascomycota; Sordariomycetes; Glomerellales; Glomerellaceae
Source: the annotation of a RefSeq genome assembly
GGUCUGGUGGUGCAGUUGGUUAUCACGUCAGUCUAACAUGCCGAGACGAUCUCACGAUCAUCUCACCGUUCACUGAAGGUCUCCGGUUCAAGUCCGGACUAGAUCA